AAUCAUUAUUUUGAAUAAAAUCAACUGGAGAGACCAACUCCAUCAAGUGUGAAGACACGCCCUCACUGAUUUGAACACUACGACAGAAGCUGUCUCUAACACAGAGUCUACAAGGCUCAGUGGUCGCUUCCUUCCUGGUCUGUGGUGAACAUGAACACUCUCCGGCUAAUAACUAAAGGAUCUGUGGUAUCCAAAAACAAGAGGAACAUAUGUUGAAAUAACAUUUCUGAAUCAUAAAUGUUCAUUCAUCUCCCUAAGACUUUCACUCUGAAUUCACUCUGAAGCUUCACUGUGACCACCUGAAUGUCAACAUUGUUAAAUACUUUGUGGCCAGUUGAAACACACAUUCAAGA
This is a long non-coding RNA of Nothoprocta perdicaria, 353 nucleotides long. RefSeq lists it as uncharacterized. The transcript has 2 exons. NCBI's taxonomy places the organism in Eukaryota, Metazoa, Chordata, Aves, Tinamiformes, Tinamidae. The record is from RefSeq and is a predicted model, not a curated record.